UACGGAGGGUGCAAGCGUUAUCCGGAUUUACUAGGUUUAAAGGGUGCGUAGGUGGUUAAUUAAGUCAGUGGUGAAAUCUUCAGGCUUAACCUGGAAACUGCCAUUGAUACUAUUUAUCUUGAAUACUUUGGAGGUAAGCGGAAUAUGUCAUGUAGCGGUGAAAUGCUUAGAUAUGACAUAGAACACCAAUUGCGAAGGCAGCUUACUACACAGUAAUUGACACUGAGGCACGAAAGCGUGGGGAUCAAACAGG
Molecule: ribosomal RNA, 253 nt
Filed under: uncultured bacterium
Lineage: Bacteria
Description: partial 16S ribosomal RNA
Rfam family: Bacterial small subunit ribosomal RNA
Source: RNAcentral